RNAcentral lists this long non-coding RNA (716 nucleotides) under Astyanax mexicanus (Mexican tetra). Its description in RNAcentral is "lncRNA (ENSAMXG00005008669.1)". Lineage: Eukaryota; Metazoa; Chordata; Actinopteri; Characiformes; Acestrorhamphidae. The record is from RNAcentral.
CAAAAGCAUUAGUUAAUGUCAUUAAAAACAUAAAAAAAAAUAGGUUGUUCACGUAUUUAGCUAUGUCAGCUGAAUACUUUAAUGAAUUGAGAGAAAAAGGUAAAACAUUUUUCUGUUUGUUGUGAACCAUUGUAUUAAGAUGUUUUUGAGCACAGAUGUUUUAUAAGCUUCAGUGCUAAGCUUCAAAGCUAGACUGUUAUCAUAGCUCGUGCUGCAACCUUUCCAAACAGUCACAACAACAGCAGUUCCCUGUGGAACAAAAAUUGAGUAUGGAAGCUGAUUUGAGAAGCUCUUUUCUUUUCUUUUCUUUUUUUCAUGUGACUUUGUUGUAGGCCCAGACGCUGGACCAGCACAAAGUCUUCUUGCAGAGGCUCGUUUUGUCGAGGGCCAGGGUUCACUGUGGAGGAGAUGGACCGCAUGACCCAUUGAGGACAUCAGCGUCCCAAAAAAGCUUGAGUGGAAAGGUCAAUAGACGAAGAUGUCUCCCCUCAGUAUUAAACCAGUCUUCACUACAUCUCCCCGGAGCAGCUGCCUAGCCACUGGACGAUGAGAAGACAGAAGUGAGGGGAGGUGGUCAGUGUUCUUCUUUUGACAGGUGGGAAAAUCCCCAAUAAGAGAAUCUAAUCUUUUUAAGAGUUUAUCAUUUAUUAAAGCUGCUGUUGUUGUUGCAGUGGCCUUUUAAAUAUUAGGCUAGUUAUGAUCUGGGAGAAGUCAGA